UGGGGAAUUUUGGACAAUGGGCGCAAGCCUGAUCCAGCAAUGCCGCGUGCAGGAUGAAGGCCUUCGGGUUGUAAACUGCUUUUGUACGGAACGAAACGGUCCUUUCUAAUACAAGGGGCUAAUGACGGUACCGUAAGAAUAAGCACCGGCUAACUACGUGCCAGCAGCCGCGGUAAUACGUAGGGUGCGAGCGUUAAUCGGAAUUACUGGGCGUAAAGCGUGCGCAGGCGGUGAUGUAAGACAGUUGUGAAAUCCCCGGGCUCAACCUGGGAACUGCAUCUGUGACUGCAUCGCUAGAGUACGGCAGAGGGGGAUGGAAUUCCGCGUGUAGCAGUGAAAUGCGUAGAUAUGCGGAGGAACACCGAUGGCGAAGGCAAUCCCCUGGGCCUGUACUGACGCU
Molecule: ribosomal RNA, 400 nt
Filed under: uncultured bacterium
Lineage: Bacteria
Description: bacterial SSU rRNA
Rfam family: Bacterial small subunit ribosomal RNA
Source: RNAcentral